UUUAAUCCCUCUUCCUCUUAAAAGAGGGGAUUCUAAAUUCACUAUUUAUUUUUGUCACCCUACUUUCCACACUUGAACUGAAUUAUUUACUGUUCAUUAUCAGGUUUUGUACUGUUGAGUAAAUAUAUUCUUUAUGCACCAUUUGUACAUUGGAGAAGCUAGCCAACGACAGAGAAACCAAAAUCUUUAUUCCUUCCAAGACCAUGGUGCUGUAAAAUUAGUAGACUCUCUCCACAAAUCGUAACUACCAUUUUCAUUUGGUCAUACUCCUCAUUUGUCCGUCGACUCCGACUCCGACAGUCCGACUCCUCUUUGUCGAGGUGUCCAUUUUACAAAGGAACCCCAAAGAAACCCCGAAGAUUGAGGAUCUUUGGUAGGCCUUUCGAUAACCUCGAUCUAGCAUGUGUUAAGUUUUGUUGGAUAUUUGCUUCUUGUGUAUUCAUUUCAUAUUUUCUUCAAAAUGGAGCCUUAAUCUCAAAAGCCUAACAUAAUUAGUGCUUAUGAAUCUAACUACCUUUUUUUCUUUUUUUCUUUUUUCUUUUUUUUGUUGUAAAUUUUAAUCGAUCCAAUGUUUUAGCUUUCGUUGAAAAUAAAGUCUUUCAUCCGUUACGUUUUCAUUUGCUUUGGUAUGACACAUAUGGGUGUUGAUCAUAUUUUAUUGUGGAAUUAGAUUUUUAUUUUCAUUUUCACUUUCACAAUUUUGGAUACAAAUGCUUAUUUUGAUCUUUUUGCAAGUCGGAGAGUACAUGAGGAACCAGAAGAUGCAACAAAGGGCAGAGACAUUUUAAUGAAAGGCCACCUGCUGAAUUCUUGACUGUGUCAAAUAUAGGAAAAACUAUGACAUCAUCUCUUCCAGAUAAUAUCGUAAGUGGUUUUCCUCAAAGUGAUUUUAUUGCAUUCGAUUUCCCAAUCGGCCCACAAAUUAAUAUAGAAUUGGAAAGGGAUUGUUUUUCUAAUUUUUAAUUUCUAGAAAGAGGAAAAACCAAGAAAUAAAGCAGAAUUACCCAUGGAAGUGGCACAAAAGGCUCAAAGCUUGUAGGAUUAUGUUCUAAGAAUAGGAUCAUUUAAAGUGGGUGAAGUGAACAGAAUGAGCAAAUAAAGUUAAAUAUUGUUGGAUUCCUUCAACAAUCUUGGAUUUUCUCUCUAUAUUAUAUUGGGCUAUUGUCUUCCUUAAUUUCUUAUGUAACCUUCCAGCUAGCCUUAUCAAAAGAAUUAUCAUUUACAAGUGUUGUAAACGAUAGAAAUCUGCAUAGACUAUUUCUUCUUUAUUAUGUCAUUCCGAAAGUUGAUCAUAAACUGCAUCACACUUUAUGAUCAAAGAUAAUGACAUGGAAGCUCUCUUAGGCACUUGUAUACUUUAUACUUUGAAACCUUCUGUUGAAAUUUUAUCUUUUGAAUUAUUCAAAUAGGUUGUUCAAUGUUAUAUGAAGCUAUUGUGAUUUUCCUUUCCUAAGCCACUAUUAAGAUGUGUUAUGAAUGAAAAAGAUAUUGUUCAAAGGUAAAUUUCGUUUUAGUUAGAUAGAAAUUUGGGCACGUAGGCUGUCAGAGUAAAAGAGAGAGGGUAAAACAAAACUUGCGAACUUGUGAACUGCAAAAGUUUUAUGGAAAGAUCUUAAAGCUCUAGGAUGUUAAGAGAUUGUAGUAGAUUGAGACAUGGAAGUUUGGUUGUUUGAAAUGUGACUUGCUUAAUGUUUAGGGCUUUGGAAGAAGACAAUUUAUAAUGCUGAUGUAAGCUAAUUUCGUUGGCCCUAAUGCAUUUCAGUGAAGCAGAGGCAUUUUCUAAGUGGUUGAAAAAAGAGCUUCAAGCUUUGGAAGUGGCAAAUGUGUGUGUAAUUUUGGAGACCAAGCAUUAGUUAAUGAGGUAACUUAGGAUUUUAAGCAUUGAUAUCCACAUGUUUACUGCAUUUUGUUUUCUUGCCAUCACUUGUGAUCCCGUAAGAUAUUUGUGUUAAUUGAUAGUAGGUGUACAUCAUCUUUAUCACGUCUUUCUAUUCAAUCAUAGCUUGUCGAUUUUACCUGUGUUUACUUAAAAGUAUAACACCUAAUUUUUUUUAAAAUACUUAUGAGUAUUAUCCAGUUUCAUUUAUUUUCUUUUGGUUUUGUUAUUGUGUUUGAAAGAUUAAUUUUGAGGAUGUGUAUAUUAGCCAAACUUUCAAAAUUUGUUUGGUUUACAAGAAGCUAAGUCAUUUGCAACUUUGAAAAUAAAGUUUUUAUGAUGAUUGUAUUUGGUUUUUAUUUUCUUUUGUUUCAAGUUGACAGCAACGUGAACCCUGAAUGAUUUAUUUAGGGAUUGUGCAGGUACUACAGGCCUUCAGAUUGCUACUAAUUUUGUUCAGGACAUGGAUGAAUAGUUGGGUACAUUCAAUGUAAAAUUUCAAGAUAUGAGAGAGGACAUAAAAUCGGUAUGCAUCUCCCCACAUCGUGCUCUCAUUUGAAAAUGUAUAUUUUCGUCUUGUCUUGUGAUUUUGCUCAUAUACAUCAUGUUAGUUAUAAAACUAUAUACUGCAUAGUGUGUUCGUCUGAUUCUAAUUUUGCUUUGUUCAACAACAUGAGCAAAUUAAAAUUCAAUUUUAUUUGUUUGCUAAAGCAUAGCUGCUUGUAUUAUCACUUGCUUUAUAAAAUAUUUUGAAGAAUGUGUUAUGAAUUAAUUCAAAUUAAGCGCUUCCCUGUGCUUUGAGAAUGUUCUAACAUAUUCUUUUGUUUUAUGAAGGUUGAAGCCCCUAAUAACAAGCUGGAAAUACAUUCAGUAAACAACAAAUCAUUGGUUGAUGAACUUGAUAGCCUUUGAGAAAGAUUGUGCAUCCCUUCCCAGGUAUUUUCUUCGACUUUUUCAUUCAAUAAAUUCAAAGAACCUUUUUUUUUUUUAACACUUGGCAGUUGUACUUUGUAUUAUUUUCCCCAUUUAAAUUUCAAUAUAUAGCAUGGCUAAUAAGAAGUUCAGGUAUUCUAGCUUGUCGGCUCGUUCAGGUUGUUAUUGAGUUUCUUUUUGUGUUUAUUGGGGCUUUUUUUAGUACUUAACACUUAGCAGUUCAGGUGUUAAAUACUAAAAAGAAAAAAGAAAAUGGGGUACUUGAUGUAAAAAUACCUUUGAGUUUAUUGCUAGCCCGCAAUACCUUUUUUAAGUAUUUAACAUUUGGGAGUUGUAUUUCAAUCACGUAAUGUUUUCCUUCACAUGCUUUAGAAUACCUUUGAGCAGCAAAUGAGCGAUUAGAGAUACUCAACAUGUAGGAUAAUAUUAUGAGAUCUUGCCUUGAUAGUUUUCAAAGUGUGUAUUUAUAUUUUUUGUCCCUUGCAGUUUUGUAUUUUCCCAGCUGGGUAGCUUAAAUUCUCUCUUUGCCAUUGAACAAACUCUGUCUAUCAUAAUGGUACCCGAGGUUCCAACCAUAAUACUUUGUAUGGAUUUGUCACAUGGUUCCCCUAGCUAGUCUAAUAUUCCAUCCAUUGUUACAGUAAAACGCUACCAACCUCUUGUUCUUUAUGCUCUUUCAAAUUAUUGCAACCUGCUUCUAUGUUUUUAUUUUAAAUAGUUUGUCUUCUUGAGGCAAUGGCCAUUAAUAUCUCAUUAACGACCAUGUGUUCACAUUCAGUCCCCUAAAGUUGAAAUCAUUGAUCCUCUUUAUAAGCAUGUCUCAGACACUGAGGAUGAGGGCAUAAUCAGAUGAGUUUAGCGUCUUCAAUUAAAAUUGUUAAUGGGCGAUAUGAAUAAGGGGGGUGUCCUCAAUUUAAAGUUUGAUGGAUUUUAAAACUCCAUAUAAAUUGAAGUAUCCUCAAUUCAGAUUUAAAUAUAAUUCAUUAAAAUAUAGGUGUCCCCAAUCUAGAUUUUUAAAAAUACUUAUAAAUUUAGGUGUCCUCAACAUAGAUUUUAAUAGGUAGUUUUGAAAUUUAGAUGUCCUCAAUAACUAGUUGAUUUUAAAAGAUUUCAUUAAGUAUAUAGAUUUUGAAGGAUUUCAAGGUAAAAAUAUAAGUACAAAAAAUCAGUAACAAUUUUAACCCAAACCUAAAAAUUUCACAACAUUUCUCACAUCUCUCCAUAUUUGCUGCCCUCUCUCUCUCUUCCUCCCCCCCCCCACCCUCCAUCUUGAACAAGAUUUUCUUCUUCUUUCUAUCUCACAUUUCUCUAUUGUAAAAAGAUCAUGUAUGAGAACUUUUCAAUUGAUGAUAAUUUAUGAAAGAUUACUAUUUUUUGUUGAAUAUUGGGUGUGAUUUUUUAUUGAACUUAUUUUUUCUUAUUGAAGUUAUAUAUUGCUUACUAUUUUAUAGAUGUGCUGGAAAUUAUCAUGGUAAUUUACGAUUUCUAGUAUGCAUCUGGAACAACUUCGUUUUUCAAGUUCUGUACUCUAUUCCUUUUUCUUGGAAAGAGCUGUGUGUUUUCUAUACAUACCUGCAAAUCCUAGCCAAGACGUGUGAGGAUGGUAUUCUACAAUUUUUUCUUUUGUGUCUGCAUGGUCAAUGAGAAUUCUGGGGGUAUGGAAUUAAUUGCCUUGUGGUCAUGUAUGUGUACAUCUGUGUGUUUGUAUCUCACGAGGUUGUGGCAUUUUGAACUAAUUCAUAUUGAUUACGACUUUGAUUAUUUAACACUACAUAUUUUUGUCCUCUCCCACUCUCGCAUUUUGUUGAAUAGUGGGUGUAUUUUUUUAUUGAAGCUCUGUUAUAAUACUCAAUGUUUAACAAACAAUUAAACAAGGAUUCGAUCAUUUUCUGUGAUUUAUUAACAUGCAUAUGUGUAAGAAUAAGUUGUUAAAGAAGAAGUAAAAAAUUGUGGCUUAUGUUAAGCAUAUUUAUAAAUUUUACCCAGAAUCUAUAAAAUCCAUUGAAAUCUAUAAAAUCCAUGAAAUUUUUUUAAAAUCUACAAAAUAGAAAUUCAUUCAAAUCUUAUGAAAUCUAUUAAAUUCUAUGAAAUUUCACACAAUUCAUGGGAAUUUAUAAAUAUUAAGAAAUCUAUUAAACUCUGAAAUGAGGACACCCCCGUAAAUGCCGAUGCAACUCCUUUAAUUCGCUUUACUGUUGAGGCCACAACUGCAGAUUUUUCUUGCUAAUGGAACUAAAUUUACAGCAGGCUUCCUCUGAGAGACCAGCUUAGCUCAAUUUGGCAUGUUAUGAACUAUGCAAAAUUGUCCAUAAAUAUGUUACUUCAAUUCAGAAAACGUCAAUUUUAUGAUACAAUUGUUUCUUUUCUUUAUUCAAAUAAGUUUUCCACAAUUUUUAUGUCAAUUCUGUACUAUUGAAAUGUAAUUUUGAUAAUAUACAUUGUUAGUGCCAAAUGUUAGUGUUAUUUAUUUUGUUAUUUAUAUUCACUGUUCAAUCUUUGAUUUUUUUUUCGAGGUUUUAAAAAAUCAUUCCCAAAAAAUUAGGAAAUUUCAACUGAAAUUGGAGUUUGACGACGAAUUUGUGAGGUAUCGUGAUGAAAGAGACCGUGAGUCAUGGCUGAUAUGAAUGGAAGGUAUUUUUCGACGAGACCCAUAAAAAUUAACUUGGUUGCUAGCAAACAGAAUGUGGGUGGUCAGGCUAAAGUUAUGAUUUACCUUUCAUCCUUGUGGUACUUUUGUCAGCUUAUUAGAUGGCCGCAUCAAAUUGACUUAAACAGGCUGAAUUAGAUUUGGUUUUUGCAUGAUGUGAUUUGAUUCCUGAUUUUGGCAGUUCAAAUGCAUUGAUGGCUUUUUGUUUUAGAUAUAUUUUCAACGGUUGAUGCUUAUUCAACAAUGUUGUUUUUAAGUAUGCUUCCUCUCAGUUAUACUCUUGAAUUCUUAAAGAUAACCAC
Molecule: long non-coding RNA, 5758 nt
Filed under: Olea europaea subsp. europaea
Lineage: Eukaryota; Viridiplantae; Streptophyta; Magnoliopsida; Lamiales; Oleaceae
Source: RNAcentral